Molecule: transfer RNA, 72 nt
Filed under: Thermoprotei archaeon
Lineage: Archaea; Thermoproteati; Thermoproteota; Thermoprotei
Description: tRNA-Met
Rfam family: tRNA
About the family: Transfer RNA (tRNA) molecules are approximately 80 nucleotides in length. Their secondary structure includes four short double-helical elements and three loops (D, anti-codon, and T loops).
Source: RNAcentral
GCCGCCGUAGCUCAAUGGUGGAGCGCCCGGCUCAUAACCGGGAGGCCGCGGGUUCGAAUCCCGCCGGCGGCA